Molecule: non-coding RNA, 31688 nt
Organism: Rattus norvegicus (Norway rat)
Lineage: Eukaryota; Metazoa; Chordata; Mammalia; Rodentia; Muridae
Source: RefSeq, a predicted model, not a curated record
CGGCGAGGGUGGGACGCGGGGCGGAGCCCGAGUUUAGGAAGAGGAGGGGACGGCUGUCAUCAAUGAAGUCAUAUUCAUAAUCUAGUCCUCGCUCCCUCUGUUUCUGUACUCUGGGUGACUCAGAGAGGGAAGAUUCAGCCAGCACACUGCUCGCGAGCAAGUGUCAGUCUGCUGACUGGCAGAGUCAGGAGACGUAGAUGGCCACACCCACAGACCCAGCUGCAAUGCCCCAUCCUGGGCCCUCCCCGGGGCCUGGACCUUCUCCUGGACCAAUUCUGGGGCCUAGUCCAGGACCAGGACCGUCCCCAGGUUCUGUGCACAGUAUGAUGGGGCCCAGUCCUGGACCUCCCAGUGUCUCACAUCCUAUGUCGACAAUGGGCUCGGCAGACUUCCCACAGGAAGGCUUGCACCAGCUGCAUAAGCCCAUGGAUGGGAUACAUGACAAGGGGAUUGUAGAAGAUGUCCACUGUGGAUCCAUGAAGGGUACCAGUAUGCGCCCACCACACCCAGGAAUGGGCCCUCCACAGAGCCCAAUGGAUCAGCACAGCCAAGGUUAUAUGUCACCACAUCCAUCUCCUUUGGGAGCCCCAGAGCAUGUCUCCAGCCCUAUAUCUGGAGGAGGCCCAACCCCACCCCAGAUGCCGCCGAGCCAGCCAGGGACACUCAUCCCAGGAGAUCUGCAGGCCAUGAACCAGCCUAACAGAGGUCCCUCGCCUUUCAGUCCCGUACAGCUGCAUCAGCUUCGAGCUCAGAUUUUAGCUUACAAAAUGUUGGCCAGGGGCCAGCCCCUCCCUGAAACUCUGCAGCUUGCAGUCCAGGGAAAAAGGACCUUGCCUGGUAUGCAACAGCAACAGCAGCAGCAGCAGCAACAACAACAGCAGCAGCAACAACAGCAGCCCCAGCAGCCCCAGCAGCCUCAGCAGCAGACACAGGCACAGCCACAGCAGCAGCAACAGCAGCAGCAGCAGCCGCCAGCUCUUGUUAGCUACAAUAGACCAUCUGGCCCUGGGCAGGAGCUGCUGAUGACUGCUCAGAACACCCAGCAGAAGCUGUCGGCACCCGCACCCAGCGGCCGACCUUCACCUGCACCUCCAGCGGCCACCCAGCCCACGGCCACAGCAGUGCCUGGGCCCUCGGUGCAGCAGCCUGCCCCAGGGCAGCCAUCUCCCGUCCUGCAGCUGCAACAGAAGCAGAGCCGCAUCAGCCCCAUCCAGAAACCGCAAGGCCUGGACCCCGUGGAGAUCCUGCAGGAACGGGAGUACAGACUUCAGGCUCGCAUAGCUCAUAGGAUACAAGAACUGGAAAGUCUGCCUGGCUCCUUGCCACCAGAUUUACGAACCAAAGCAACCGUAGAGCUGAAAGCACUUCGCUUGCUCAACUUUCAACGUCAGCUGAGACAGGAGGUGGUGGCCUGCAUGCGAAGGGACACCACCCUGGAGACAGCCCUCAACUCCAAGGCGUACAAGCGGAGUAAGCGCCAAACCCUGCGAGAGGCACGCAUGACGGAGAAACUGGAGAAGCAGCAGAAGAUAGAGCAGGAGAGGAAACGCCGCCAGAAGCACCAGGAAUACCUGAACAGUAUUUUGCAACAUGCAAAAGAUUUUAAGGAAUACCACCGGUCUGUGGCUGGGAAGAUCCAGAAGCUGUCCAAAGCAGUGGCGACUUGGCAUGCUAACACCGAAAGGGAGCAGAAGAAGGAGACGGAGCGGAUCGAGAAGGAGAGAAUGCGAAGGCUGAUGGCUGAAGAUGAAGAGGGCUACAGGAAGCUCAUCGACCAAAAGAAAGACAGACGCCUGGCCUACCUAUUGCAGCAGACUGAUGAGUAUGUCGCCAAUCUGACCAACCUGGUUUGGGAGCACAAGCAGGCCCAAGCAGCCAAAGAGAAGAAGAAGAGGAGGAGGAGGAGGAAGAAGGCCGAAGAGAAUGCAGAGGGAGGGGAGCCUGCCCUGGGACCAGAUGGAGAGCCAAUAGACGAAAGCAGCCAGAUGAGUGACCUGCCUGUCAAAGUGACGCACACGGAAACUGGCAAGGUCCUCUUUGGACCAGAAGCACCCAAAGCAAGUCAGCUGGACGCCUGGCUGGAGAUGAAUCCUGGUUACGAAGUGGCACCCAGAUCGGACAGUGAAGAGAGUGAAUCAGACUAUGAGGAAGAGGAUGAAGAAGAAGAGUCCAGUAGGCAGGAAACAGAGGAGAAGAUACUGCUGGAUCCAAACAGCGAAGAAGUUUCCGAAAAGGACGCCAAGCAGAUCAUUGAGACUGCGAAACAGGAUGUGGACGACGAGUACAGCAUGCAGUACAGUGCCAGAGGGUCCCAGUCCUACUACACGGUGGCUCACGCCAUCUCCGAGAGGGUGGAGAAGCAGUCUGCCCUCCUCAUUAAUGGCACCCUGAAGCACUACCAGCUCCAGGGCCUGGAAUGGAUGGUUUCCCUGUAUAAUAACAAUCUGAAUGGAAUCUUAGCUGAUGAAAUGGGGCUAGGCAAGACCAUCCAGACCAUUGCACUCAUCACGUAUCUGAUGGAGCACAAAAGGCUCAAUGGCCCCUACCUCAUCAUCGUCCCCCUCUCGACUCUGUCUAACUGGACAUAUGAAUUUGACAAAUGGGCUCCUUCUGUGGUGAAAAUUUCCUACAAGGGUACCCCUGCCAUGCGACGCUCCCUUGUUCCCCAGUUACGGAGUGGCAAAUUCAAUGUCCUCCUGACUACCUACGAGUACAUUAUAAAAGACAAGCACAUUCUUGCAAAGAUUAGGUGGAAAUACAUGAUAGUGGACGAAGGCCACCGAAUGAAGAACCAUCACUGCAAGCUGACCCAGGUCCUGAACACACACUACGUGGCCCCCAGAAGGAUCCUUCUGACUGGGACCCCGCUGCAGAAUAAGCUCCCCGAACUCUGGGCCCUCCUCAACUUCCUCCUCCCUACAAUCUUCAAGAGUUGCAGCACAUUUGAGCAGUGGUUUAAUGCUCCGUUUGCCAUGACCGGCGAAAGGGUGGACCUGAACGAAGAAGAAACCAUUUUGAUCAUCAGGCGUCUACACAAGGUGUUGAGACCCUUUUUACUGAGGAGGCUGAAGAAAGAGGUUGAGUCUCAGCUUCCAGAAAAGGUUGAGUAUGUGAUCAAGUGUGAUAUGUCCGCUCUGCAGAAGAUCCUGUACCGUCAUAUGCAGGCCAAGGGCAUCCUCCUCACGGACGGGUCUGAGAAGGAUAAGAAGGGGAAAGGAGGUGCCAAGACGCUUAUGAACACUAUCAUGCAGCUGCGAAAGAUAUGCAACCACCCAUAUAUGUUUCAGCACAUUGAGGAAUCCUUUGCUGAACACCUGGGCUAUUCGAAUGGGGUCAUCAAUGGGGCCGAGCUGUAUCGGGCCUCAGGAAAGUUUGAGCUACUUGAUCGUAUUCUGCCCAAAUUGAGAGCGACUAACCACCGCGUGCUGCUUUUCUGCCAGAUGACGUCACUCAUGACCAUCAUGGAGGAUUACUUUGCUUUUCGGAACUUCCUUUACCUGCGCCUUGAUGGCACCACCAAGUCUGAAGAUCGUGCUGCUUUGCUGAAGAAAUUCAAUGAACCUGGGUCCCAGUAUUUCAUUUUCUUGCUGAGCACACGAGCUGGGGGCCUGGGCUUAAAUCUUCAGGCCGCAGACACUGUGGUCAUCUUUGACAGCGACUGGAAUCCUCAUCAGGAUCUGCAGGCCCAAGACCGAGCUCACCGCAUUGGCCAACAAAAUGAGGUCCGGGUGCUGAGGCUUUGCACCGUCAACAGUGUUGAGGAAAAGAUUCUCGCGGCUGCCAAGUACAAGCUGAAUGUGGACCAGAAGGUUAUUCAGGCGGGCAUGUUUGACCAGAAGUCAUCCAGCCAUGAGCGGAGGGCAUUUCUACAGGCCAUCCUGGAGCACGAAGAGGAGAAUGAGGAAGAAGAUGAGGUACCAGACGACGAGACCCUGAACCAGAUGAUUGCUCGCCGGGAAGAAGAGUUUGAUCUUUUUAUGCGCAUGGACAUGGACCGGCGGAGAGAGGACGCCAGAAACCCGAAGCGCAAGCCUCGCUUGAUGGAGGAAGAUGAGCUGCCCUCCUGGAUAAUUAAGGAUGAUGCUGAAGUGGAAAGGCUCACCUGCGAAGAGGAGGAGGAGAAGAUAUUUGGGAGGGGCUCUCGCCAGCGCCGGGAUGUGGACUACAGCGAUGCCCUCACCGAGAAGCAGUGGCUCAGGGUAGGUGUGGCUUUUCAAACUUACCUGGUGGCUGGAGUGUUUUCAGUGACUUGGCUGGAAUUCUCUGCCCUGGUGGCAGAGUUGCUGAUGGCGUAGCCUGGGCUCCUGAACAUUGAGGGAGUCUUCCUUGUGCAGCAGUCAUUCUGUGUUUCCAGGCGGUUUUUAGGGGAGAGGAGAAUUGGCUGUAAGAAGUGAAGAUUAUUAGGGCUGUGAGACACAUGAAUGUUUUAUGGUCAAUUGUCUGGCCAUGCCUCACUUUCUCAGAAUGCACGAGGGGUCCUUAGAGAUUGUUUUAAUUGUUCACCCUUAUUUCACGGUCUUUAAUCAUGGAUUUAAUUCUGCGUGGCCUGCCCAGAGAGUUCAGAGGCAACGUUGUUUUCUGUGUGAUUUCUGGCUCUGUGAUUUCAUGGUUAGAGCGCAUUUAGAUUUGGAUGGUCCUUUGUACUAUUUGGUUUUGAUGAAGAAAUUGAAGCCCAAAAAAGUGCGUGUGACUGUUUGGGGCGCACAGCCGGAUAGAAAUACAGAGUCAGUGGCUACUGGUGUGUUUGCAUGUCAACGUCGGCUCGGCGCGAUUGAUCUGUUUUAAAUAGCGAUGAUACCCAGACUAAAGUCAAUGGUGGUAGGGAGAAAAGAAAAUGUUAUUUUAAAGUUUGUGGGGAUAUUUUUUUUAUUCCCUCUUCAGAAAGUGGUAAUUUCUCAUUUUGACCGGGACUGAAAUCGCACGAUAUUCCUCUGGGACCCCAGAAAUAUCAGCAUGCUCCUACCAGUCAUGUGUGGGAAUAUCAGGGCCAGUGGGGUUCAGCCGUCCUUUCUAUUCUUUUGAACAGACUUGGUACCUAAUGGGCAGAACAGCCGGGGACAUGCUUCCCAGACAGGGCCAGCAAAGCAAGUGCUGGAAAUAGUAUGUGCAGUUGGGUAAAAACCAAACUAAACAGAAGCUAGUGUUGGGCACCGUCCAUUUUCUCAAAGGGAAUAAAAUUCCCAAGCCUUGUGAGCCAAGGAUUUCAAGGCCUGGGUCGUAAGAGGGUAGGUGGGGAGAGGGGAACUGGGGAGGGUUUUGUGGCUGGAUAUCUGAGGCAGAUGGCCUCCGUACCGCUGGAGGGAUGCUUCUCUCAGGGCGCUAUGUAAUGACAGGGAUGUGACCUGAAUUUCGAAAAGAGGGUGUCUGUGGGAUUCUGCAAAGAAAAUCCAAGAAGGCAUCACUCAUGUUUAUGGUUGAACAAUUGCAUAUGAAAUGUAACUUGUGUGUGAUUGUUUCCCUGUCAGACCCAGGCAAGGGUUCCAAUGGCCUCAGAAUGCACCUCUGCGAAUUCCCUCUGUUUGACUGUUAUGAUUGUAGUUUGGUUGGGUAAUUAAGACUCAUCCUAGAGUGUAAGGAGAUUUCGUUGAAUAUUCAUUUCAGAGCUUGGAAAAAUUGGAUUUCCUUUCUCUUUAUUAAAGCAAUAUAUUAAUCACCUGAAGUGUUAUUACCAGAGAGGAAAUAAACAUAACGUAGGCCCACAACUUCAAAAUCGAUUUUUUGAUAUGAGUAAUCUCUAGAUGCGAUAGGCAUAUUAACCCUGUUUAUUGGUCAAGGUUGUAGUCGAACUUAUCUUGUGCUUUAUAAUCGUAGAAAAUUACUCCUAGGAAGGAUGACAACAUUAAUCUCGGAGGCCUCCGUGUUAGGCUAGCUUACCGUAACUCAUUUUAUCCUUCACAGUACCCAACAUGUACAGAGACUUAGUGAGUGACUGCAGAAACAAACCUUAAUCCUAGGAAAGUGGAAGUUACUGGCUUCCCAGCAGCGCUUGGAGAACUUUCUAAGUGAAUGCAGCAGGCUCAUUCAGAACAGAAAACCAGUUAGUUUUACAGAACUAACUCCUCUAUGGAGGAAACUCAUGUGUUUUGAUUUUAUCCCUUAAGGUGCCCUAGCAGUGUGUCAAGUCAUCCAGGAGGGCAGAAGCCGUUCUCAGCACAGCUUUAGUGGGAUGUACCUUGUUGGCAUUCUUUUCAAACACUGUAUUUCAUGGUCUGGAUGUCUACUUGCUGUUCCUUCCGGAAGACAACUGACACCCGGAUCUCAACUCUUGAGAGUUACAAUCCUGUGUUGUUGUUGACCCAGAAGCAAUCUGAAUAUACGGCAAUUAAGUAUUUGCUGCAGUAAAGUGAAAUCGAAGGGGCUCUUAGGCUGGGUGUGUAGAGGAGAUGCCCAGUUCUGCUAGUGAUUGGCGUCUCUCGUAGUCACAGCCAAUGUGGCCUUGAGAGGGAGACUGGCAAGUACGACAGGGUAAGAUACGCUCCAUUGAGGCUGAAAUUAUUCUUCCUCCUGGCAGCACUGUAUAAAGCCUGCUUGGCUAAGGCUUGGAUGAUGCAUAGAGUCCCAGAGUUGGAAGGCAGAGUUGGAAAGCGGCUGAAUGGGGCUGUGGCCAUCCCGUGCCCAGCCCACACUCUAUAGAGUCCAUGCCAAGAGGCUGGCUGGCCCUCGAAGGCAGUACACUAUCCUUUUGUCUUCUGAGCCCUGAAGUUCAGUAUCAGCCUUGAAGAUUGGUUCUUCCUCCCGCUGACCAGAAUUCUCUUUCCCUAUAGUUCCUCCCUGACCUUGAAUCUAUGCCCUGGAGAGAACAGAACAAUGCAUUUCCUGUCUUCACAACACAGCCUCGUGGGUAAAAUAUACACAGGUUUAGUCUGGCAUGGACUUCCCAACCCUCCUCUUUUGAACUUUUCCUCAUCCUUCAAGGCUCAGUCAGUUCAUUGGUUGUCUUGGAAGAUAAACACCGAUUGCACAUCCCGGUGUUGUCUUGCGUUUCCUUGUCUGCCCCUCUCUCACAGCACCAUUCUGGGUUCCCAGCAUUCUCAGGCUUUGUCUGACUUCCUGGCUAGUUGGUAAGCUGGAUCUGGAGCUGUACCUUAUUAGAAUUUCAGUCUUCCACGUGCAGCUAUUAUGCGCCACUGGGUGCCACAGCAAAACAGACCGUACCGUAGAAUGCACAGAUGGCUCUAACCCCUGCUAUAGCAGAAGUCCCUAACUACACCCGUCUGUGAACCAAAACCGUAAGUCGGGGUUGUUCCUCAGGCAUGAAAAGCCCACGGUGAUGGGUCCUGGGUGAGCACAUCUUGUUCUUCAUGGCAUUUGUCAUGUAGCCAGGCUGGGUGAGCAUUUGACAGAUUGGUCCGUCUCUGUCCACAUGCGCUCUAAGAGGGGAAAUGGCACGGGGCAGGGGUGCAGGAGCCCAUCUGGUUGUGCCUCAUCUGUUCCACAAGCUUUUCCUUAUGUCCUGCUGUGCAGGCCUCCUCUGUGUGGCCACCUCAGCUCCCUAGAAGACAGAGAACCAUGUGGCUGAGAGGCCAGGAGAGCAAGAAAAGUGUGGAUGACCACCUAGCCUUCUCACCUAGCAUCUCAGCAUAGUCAGGACAAGUGUCGAUGGUGAUGUUGCUGCUUUCCCGACAAAUACAGCUUCCCCACAAACAGGUUUUAUUCUAGAAUUGGAAUACGCUAAAAAUUUCUCAUAGAAUCCUGGAGAGAGUCUCUUUAGCUGCAAGGGAUUUUUUAAAAGCAUUUUCCCCCUUGAUUCAUAAUGUUUUAAAUGAGGAGAAUCAUAAUUUAUUUCAAACACACCUUGUGUUGUUGUUGUUGUUAUUUAAUAAAGUACUUUAAGUUGAUUGAAAAUCCAUUUCCAUUGAAACUUAAUGUUUUUGGUAGCAGGCAGUUCCCCAGUCUUGGAGUAAGUUUGGUUUUUUGUUUUUCGUUUUUUUGUUGUUGUUGUUUUUUGUUGUUGUUGUUGUUGUUGAAUGCCCCCUUACCCAAUGGGGACAUUCUGGGGAUAUUAUAUUGUUUUCCCAAGAUUGUGUCUGGAUAAAGAUAGAAGCUAUUGUUGAAGCAUGACCUUGAGGGCAUACAACUGAGUUCUUCCCACCCCAUGAGUCACUAUGAGAGUUGGCACAAGGUUGAUGGGCGCAGAACAUACGCCCAUAUGCACAUACGCCUGGUCCCUUUUUGUGAUCUUGAAGACUUUGAUGACUGGUACUUUUGACAUCAGGGAUCCUGGCCACCAGCUCCAGCCAGAAACAGUUCUGUGUUCUUAUAUUUCAUUAAGUCUAUGGUUUUUUGUUUUGUUUUGUUUUUGCUUUUUUUGUUUGUUUUUUCUAGUCUAAAGGACUCAGCUUUUCUGUGUCUUGGUUGCUUCCUGAACACUGCUUUGGAAUAUGUGGGAUAGAUACAUCCAAACCAGCCCCUUCCUUACCACCAAGGGGUUGUGAUGUCUACAAUUUCUAGAAUCUGAUGGUUGGACAGAUCCAGGAGCCUUUUAAAAGACAACCUGCAUGGAGUGGAAUGUCUGAUGCUUACAGAUUUUUCUAGAAGUUUGUGACCAUAGGGAAGACAUAGUGAGAGGCUAAUCCAGAAGAAGCUAUGUGGGGCCUGAAGGCCAAGCCUCAUUAGCUUCCUGGUGAACAUUGCUCUGAGCAUGCCUCCCACCUCCCACACCUUGAGGGGUUUGUCGUUGUCCGAAGGCUUAUUUUAUCUAUUUAUGUGUGUCCAUGCCUGUGUGAAAGUCUGUGCACACAUGCGUGUGGAUGGGUAUCCCCAUGUAUAUGUGGAGCCUAGAAAAGGAGAUCAGAUCCCUUGGGAUGAAAAUGACACGAUAGGGAUGCACCCUGGUUACACUGGUCUAGGAUGUGAACUCCAGUCCUCAGGAUUAUACAGCAAGCUCUCUUAGCCAUUGAGCCAUCUCUCCAGUCCCUACCUAAAGUUUUGACCCAGAAGGGACAAUAGUUCACUUCAGCCUCAAUAGCAGUUCAGUGCUGCCCAAGACCUGACAAGAUCAGGGAGACAAUCCUAACAACAUUGCCUGUAACUUCAGAGGCCAGCCACAUUUGAGGAGGGUCAAGGGGCCCCAUGCCUUUUCCUGACUGGCUUAGAUGUUUCCAUGAGCUCUUUGGAUUCAUCCUUUACUAGAGUGGCUCACAGAACUCAGGAAAAUACCCCUGCAGCUCUAGUUUCCUGAUCAUGUAUGUGAGUCGAACAAGAGGCGCGCUAACCCUCACCUUUCCUUGUAGAUUCGGGCAUCUGAAUCUCCUACCACAUCAGUAGGAACUCCAAACAGGAAGUGCACUGACCUUUAGUGACCAGGGUAUUCAUUAGAGGUACUCAUUAACCGGAUAUGAUCGAUGAAACCAUUGACCAGUUGAUGGCCCUCAGUCUCCAAGCACUUUGGCCUCUCUAGGAAUCAGUCUGGAUAUUGUGGUUUGAGUAUGUUUCUCCAAAAGCCUUUGAAGACAUGGUCCCUAGCUGGUAAAUGUAGUCCAUUGAGAGGCCAUUGUAUCAUUCUGGCUUUUACUUCAACCGUGUAUUAACCCAUGGGUGGGUCCAUAGAGUGACAUUAUUGGGAGCUGGUGGUACCUAAGGCAUUACCAGAGAAAGACUGUCAGUUGAGAGUAUAAAGGGUAUCUUGUGCUCACCAUCUUUCUGUCUCACCCUCUGCUUCCUGGUUACCAUGAGGCAAGCAACUGUCCUGUGCCACAUACCCUUUCACCAGAGAACAGGCCCAGAAGGAACAGCCAGCUGUCCAUGAUCCGAAAUGCUUGACACUAUGAGUCGGAAUAAGCCUUUCUUCCUUAAGCUAUUUAUUUCUGGUGUUUUCCUCAUCACUGAGAAGACAGCUAACGUACAGGACAAGCUUCUAACACUCUAGUCACACUGUUGUGUUGAUGCUGUAUUUGUUUUGAGUUAUUUUAAUAAGUCCUUAUACCUCCACCUCCCUUCAAACCCUUAUUCCGCCCGGAUCUCUUCCAAGCCCCCAACACCAGGUAGGAAAGAAAGAAGGUUAGAGGGAGAAGGCGCAUAGACCUCUUUAGACUACUUCCUGCUGAUUAGGGACAUCAUAUUUCCUGGGACCAGUCCAGUCAUCAGCAUCAGGAUAUCUCCAACGUCUUCUUGUCAAACUGCAGCAACAGCAGCCAGGAGCAGCAAGGGAAGCAGCAACCUUCUUUCCCUGGCACCCCCAGCCCCAGCCCCAGCCCCAGCCCCAGCCCCAGCCCCCCCACCCCCACCCCCACCUCCACCUCCACCUCCACCACUACCAUUCUCGGGGCUCUGACAUUUAUUUCCUCUCCAGAGACCCCAGAACUAAAUUAUCUGCAGCUGGCAAAAAUCACGCCCCUCCUAGAGCAGGAGACAAUUAGUGGCUGUGGGCAAACUGAAGCAGCCUCCUAGUCCACACCUGGGAUUAAAACCAAAACACACUCUAUAAACUGGGUUUUUAAGGAACUCUCACUACAUUGUUGGUCUUCUGUGACCAACUCUAGCCAGAGUUCACUAGAAGUCGCGUCACUAAGUAUGUCAAAGAUAUUCCUACCACUUGGAAAAUGCCAAGGGUGUAGACACUCCGUGCUAAGAACCUAGGAGUAGACAAGCAAGAGUUAUUAUCCAGCCGAAAGCCCUAUCGUAGGCCUGACCUAGCUUUCCUUACAUGGAAGGAGCGUCUCCACCUUGCCUUCCUUUCAUAGAGUGACUUCCUGGGAAGAAUGUUCCAUGCUUCUCCAGUGCCAUUCUCAGUAGACCCCCAUCUCCCCGGCCAUCUCUGGAUUGGGGCAGGCCUUUGGAACUGGAGAAAAUCUGUGAUGGUUUGCUUCUCGAUGAGUAUAAACUAACCAAGAGACAGAGGAGGGGUGAGGGGCUCAGUACUAACCCAGUGAGGAGACCACAGGAGUUAAUUUGCAAAUUAGUAUCUUCUGAACAAAGAGAAAGCGAUGGCUUUGGGGGACGAGGGGGCCAAGCUCUGCAUAUAGGUAGACAUCACCCAAGCAUGCCAUGCCAUGCCAUUUACAAUGUUUAAGUAUAAGAUAAGUGGUGAGCACUUUCUGGAGCAUGCUCAGUUCAGAGCCAUUACCACAUGUUUAAAAUAAAAGACGAUGCGUGAAAAUAGAAGACUUAGUGUUACUGUGAGCGUAGUUCUCCCCAGGUCACCCGAAAUAAUUAACUUGAUGGUUUGAACCUAUAUUAGUAACUUUUUUGUUGUUGAUAAUGUAACAAAAUACCUGACAGGAGCAACUUAAGGGUGAGGAAAGGGUUAUUUAGGCUCAUAAUCCAUCCUGGUGGAGAAGAAGACUACUGGAUUGAACCCAGCUGUAACAUCUCGGGCUUGCAGCUGGUCCAUCAUGUGGCAAAGGGGAAGCAGAGAGCUUCAGCAGAACAGAGGUGGGGAUAGCCUUUGAAACUCGAGGCUCUGGCAGCCCACAUCAGCCAACUAGUCCCUGUGUUUCAAGGUUUCCAAAUUCCCUACCAGCUUGGGGACCAAGGGUUCAAACACAGCCCCCAUUUCACAUUCAGGCUAUAUCAGACAGUCUUGGCCGAAGUAAGAAACAAAGUUCCCUCUUUGAAGUUAAUGUCUUUUAAAAGACCAGCGGCUUACACUGUGCUAUGUCAUAACCCUUGAAAGCGCUUGCCUCCCGUAAUGCUAACAGCUUCUGCCUGCUGGAGAAGCCUGGUUAACGUUUCUGUCCCCUGAUGGGCUCAUAACUGCUCUUACUGGUUUGGGAAGCGGAGGCAUUCUUUGUCUCUGUGAACUGACCCUAUCCUCGUUUUGAAUGAGACAAUGGUUCUCGUCCUCACGCAGGGUAUAUAGCCCAUCUGAAGGUGUGGGAAAACAUAUUACCAUGACUUAAAAGGCUUCUUCUACAGUGAGUAUUUGGUAGCUUCUUCAGGAUAUACCCAAGGUGUUAACAGUGUCAUGUUAAACUUUAAACUUGUAUGAGUCCGUUUGUGCUCAUGAUGUGAUUGGUGUCUUGCUAACUUCUUUAAAAAAAAAAAUCCUGUAUCUCAUGUUUGAGAGCAGGCCUUCCAUCUACUAACACUGGCAGAGCCAUAAUGAGACCAGGGAUAGACCAGGGCCUGUCAUCUGACUUCUGCCGUGUGUGUUCUACCUGAGACGACUCUAGCAUUGCAAUGCUGGCACUGCCUUGAGGACAGGGACUUUACUGCCCAGGUAGAGGGUGAGCCGAAUGGUGGUUUCUGGAGGGCUUUGCUGGGCUCCUUUGGUCUCUGCCAACUUCAGAAUGCUUCCUUUUCGGAGAAUGCUCAGCGACAACCUGGAAUUUGUUUAAUUGCUGAGUGGAGAGAUUUCGCCCCCCAGCACUUGGAGAUAAUUAGAACACGAUGUAGAUUGUGUAUGCUCUGUAUAAUGUGUAAUUACAGAUGGGUGGAGACGACGGAUUUUGGAGAGCAAGGCUUUGUCACGCAGCGGAUCUGGUGCGUGAAAACACGGUUGUGAAAAGUCCCACUUAACUCGUUUAGUACCGUGAGCCUCCAUGGGGCAUCACCUGUCCUCUGUGUGGUCUUUAAACACCGUGUGGGUAAAGGUGAGGACAGAGGCGCCUGGCGUUAAAGGGAAAUGCUUUUCUUUUCUUUUCUUUUCUUUUUUUUUCCUGUGUAGUUGAACCCUAAUCAGUUUAUGGUGAGAUGGAGAGGAGGCCAGUCGACAACACAGGUAUUGUCAGAGGCCAUGACGUUUCAAAAUCAGCCUCUCAGGAGGAAAGACAGAACACCCAGAUUUUUUUUUCCUUUUCCUCCAUAAAUCUGCUACCAGAUAAAAGUAUGCAUUUCUCGGGAUCUUUGUGCCUGAAUGGGGUCCCCAUGAUCACAUCUGCCCUCCAUGGGGUGGACAUUGGGAGUGUUCUUUUCCACAAAGCCUGAUAUAAAUUAAAGGAAGUGAAGGACUCUUCAGCUAGAUACAACAGGGGAAUAGUCGGUAAAUCAGAUGUAAACCUCCCUGUGGAAUUCACUUUGGCAUUUUGAAGGUGCCCUGAUGCCAGCACGCUCAUACGGACGGGAUGGAUCCCUGUUCUUGGCUACUCGGUACAAGCAGCCCAGGUGCCAAACUCUGGGAUAUAGAAGGCAGGCGGUUCCCUGAAGAUUUUGAUCAUAAAGUUCCAGAAGAAAAUGCAUACCCAGGAAAAAGCCAAGGGGUUGUGAUUUCAAAUACCAUAUUUGGAAUUCUGCCGAAAUACUUCAGAAGUAAUAAGAUCUCACGUGUAUGAAGAGGUAGGCUGUGGACCCUUUGGAAGGGUUUGAAACAUGGUAACAUCUCUGUUUGGGUUGGACAAAGUCUGAUCCAGCCCAGAUCAGAGACAGGCUGGAAUCUCUUAGCUCUAUUUUGGCUGAGAACAUCUGUGAUUCUGGGAAAUGCAGUUUUCUCUAAAAAUAAUUUAUUUUAUGCUGGUAGGGUUUCUUGGAGUCUUCAUCUAAAGCAUAACACACAUAAUGCUUUUUUUUUAUAUUUUAGGUUUUGUUUGUUACCUUAAAUCAUCUCCUUAAUUUUUUUUUUAAACUAACACGACGACUUAAAAACAAUUGACCUUUUAUUUUAUUAACGGCAUUUGGGUUUUAAAGUUAGGUCAUCUGAUUUACUGGGGCAGAAUUUUCUAGCAAGCUGCAUUUCCGUUUUUAUACACAAGGGAGAGCUAAGGCCCUAGAAAAUAGAUGUAGGUCUCACCACAUUCCAUCUCGGGGUGGACUGACUGAACUAAUUAAUGGUGCUAAGAGUUGUGAAUUAUUCGGGGGAAAUAUUUGACAGUAGUAAAGGAAUUUUAAUAACUUCCAACAGCUUUUAUUUUAUGUGCACUGGCCAGAUAGCUUUAACAGCCACUCAGCCCCAGUGUGUUUCCCUUUGUUAGAAUUCAACAGGGUACAUUGAACAGGAGUAGCCCUCAGAGGGCUGGCAAAAAUAAACAGCAGAGGUUCAGAGGCAGACAGACGGGGCAAAUGAUUGAUUUUUCUUCUUUCCUUCUCUCUUUCUUUCUUUCUUUCUUUCUUUCUUUCUUUCUUUCUCUCUUUCUUUGUUUUUUAAACCUUAAUGCCUAGAAUUUCUGGUCUUGAAUUUCAUUGUUAGAAAUCAGGAUUUAGUUCCCAAAUCAAACCCAGUCAUCAAAAAGAACUGUGGAAAAUUGCCCUGACCUCACAGAUACAAAGAGAUCCAGAAAGUUCAUAUUCUCUAGAGAAGGAAAAAAAAAUUCAUUUGUUUCUGUGGAGAAAGGAAAAGUUUGGAAAUGUGUUUUUGCUUAUUUUUUUUAAUCGAGAUUUGGUGUUUAAUCCUGUGAGUUUAUUUAUAUAUUUAUUCAUUUAAAAUCAAUGAGGUGAGAUGACUGAAGUCGUCCUUCUUAUAGACAGGCAGAUGGCAGAGUUUGGUGCCAGCCUGGUCCAUAUAGCAAGUUCCAAGCCAGUCAAGGCAACAUAGAAAGACUGUCUCACAAAACAAAACAAAACACAAACACAAACAACCCAGUAAAUAGUCGGUAAGGAUUGGGGCAAGCACUGUUUGGGGAGAAUCAAUCAAGGCAGGGCAACUCCAUUUUUUCUGGAGAAAGGCACAAUGUAAGGCCACUUGCUCUCCAAGCUCCGAGAAAGUAAGCCUUGGGAUCAGCAGGGGUUCAACUCCACCUCAUGCCCCCCCCCCCCCCCCCGCUACCAUUUGAACUUCUGGGAGCUUUCUUUGUUUUGUUUUGUUGUAAUUUAAUUUAACUUAAUUUUAUAAAAUGUUCCAUGAGGAGGCAUUCUGUGUUUGAAUGUGCCUUACACAAGAACCAGGAUCCUAAAAUAUGAGAAUAGACUUUUAAGAAAGAAGGGAGUGGGUGGGUGGAUGGGGAGCACCCUUAUAGAAGCAGGGGGAGGGAGGAUGGGAUGGGGGUUUCCAGAGGGGAAAGGGGAUAACAUUUGAAAUGUAAAUAAAUAAAAUACCCGAUUUAAAAAAAAAGACUCAAAAGUUUCUAAGAAAAUCCAAAUGGGUAAUAGAAGAAGAAAAAAAGUUCUGUUGUGUGUCUUGAGGAGAUGUUUUGGGGUAACAGGAGAAAGGUUAGAGUGAGGAGCUUAAACAGGAGGGUGUGCUUACUUACUGAUGAUGUCCCAGCAUCUGGCCACAAGCGUCUCCACUCAUGCCAGCCAACCUGAGUUCACCCAGCAGUUAACUGGCUCUGGCUAGUUCUCAUUGAACUGCUUGCCAACUUACCCUCACCCAGCCAAUGAUGACCUUUACUUCGGUUUUCAGGUUAGACCAUGCCUACAGAAAGAAUGUGAGAGCUGGCAGCCAUGGAGUGCGAGCCUGGGCCUGCUGCUACCUAAGUGGUCUUUGAAAGGCUUUGCUCCAGUGUGAGGAGGGCAUGUGGAAGCUGGCUUCAUGCAGGCAGGAAAGGGCAGAAGGACCAGAACCUGCCUGUAUUCCAGAUAGUUUUCGGACUUCUAGCACACAGAACCCUGCAAGUACAUAUGUACUGUUUGUAAGCUCUUGUUUGGGGUCUCCAAAAGAAAGCAGGGCCAAUACAGAGAAAGCCUCUGAUUAUAGGCACUGGUUUGUGAUUCUGGGAGUUUGACUUCCAAGAGGUGCCAGCUAUCUGCUAGGACACAGGGAAGCUAGGGAUGUGGCUUUAGUCCAAAUCUAAUACCCCAUGCAUGAGGGUAGGAACACAUUGUCAUAAGUCCUGAACCCCAGAGGCCUGAGAAUCAGAAGUCUGGUACCCAGUAUCCAAUAUUCAUGAACUGAAUGGCUGGAAAAGGAGAAUCCCUCUUCCCUCGUCUCUCUUUUUCUACCCCAGCCCUCAGUGGAUUGGACAGAUAGUCACAUGGCUGGUUUCGCUGAUUAAAAACUUGUCUUGUUUCAGAAACACUCACAAACAUAUUUUUGAAUGGUGUAUUCCCAGCCAUGUGAAAAUCCCUUAGAUCUGUCAAGUUGACAUACCAUCACAUUAGUGUGGUCCCCCCUCACCCCCACUCUACCCAGUCUCCCCUAGGCUACCCCAUCCCUAUCCCUGGUACUUUGCUAUCGAAGCCCAAAGGAAAAUGUGGGUCAUCUGCAGCUUUGAUUGGAGGAGCCUUUUCCAUCCACUGUCUAGAGGGAACCUCCCAAGUCCCAGGAAGGUGCAUUUGCCUUCCUGUUUAUUGUGACUUUUCAAUCAUGAUCCCCUCCUGCUUUGUCAUCUACGAGGACAUGAGCAGGAACUGUCUAAGCGCUGAUGCAGUGAUUGUGUAUUGAAGACUGAUUACGUUUUGUAGACGUGUUUGCAUAUGGGAAGAGUGUUAAGUUGUUACUCCGCACAGCCACAGCUGGCCACAUUUAUUAAUGGCAAUUAAGAGGCAGGCUCGAGAGGCGCUCUCAGCGAUGAUAUUGCAGUCAGCUACUUGCGAGGACUGGUAAAGAGUGGAUCUCCAAGCACACGAGACGUGAGAAUUAGCAGAGAUGAGAAGACACUGUGACACACUCCAACCUUUGUAAGGUCUCUAACUGUUCGGGAAAGGAGCAGGUGUUGAGCAACAUGGAUUCUGCAUAAUGCCACCAUGUUGGCAUCAACCCUCCGGGGAUGAUACAUAAGUGUCUCUGCCUUCCGACUGCUAGGGGAGGGAAGGGCUGCUGCCUCCACAGGCUGCGUUUGUCUUCCUACUGCUGUUGGGAGACUCCAUCCUUCCCGACAGACAGCAACAGCUGGGCAUGUGUGUUACCUGUCAGCCCCUGUUUGGCCUUGAGAGAAGGAAAAAUACAGCCUACACGUUCACUGACAAACAGGAGCUCGAGUGCCGAGUAAUAAGGAUUGGGCAUGUGACAUGUUCAGAUUUCCUGGCACUGUAGAGGGUGACUCUCUUUGUUCAGGUUGCCCAGAGGAUACAGAAGGAACCUUUUAGAAGAAAAGGAUGCUCUGACCGCCCUGCCUACACCUUCCCCCCCAGCCUCCCCUACAUACACACUCUGCCAUUGGAGAGUAGAACCCAAACUUCUACCUGAUCUUAAAGGCCAUGGCCUUCUGCUCCCUUGCUCUUGGCUGACCCACAGGACUGUCCUGGUUCUUCAUAUCCUCUGUCCCAGGUCUCUACUUCUCCUUGUCCAGAUGAGCUCCUUAGAGACCCUUGUUAAAUGGUGCUUGUUACUGUUAUUUGAGGUACACUGUUUUCAGUGGCGCUGCCACUGCCAAAAGGAUACCUUACUGGUCUCUCCCAUCAGUCCUGAGCUCCGGGGACAGCCAGGGUCUCGACUAGUGUACCUCAGGGACUAGAGUAGCACCACCAUCGUAGGAAAGACUUACUAGGUGUGUGAAUAAGUGAAUGUGGUUGCAGGUGGAGCUAGGGUGGGAGGUUUGACUGCAGCCCCCCUUAUCCUUUCGACAAAGCCGGUAGAAUGAUGUGUUUUCUUUUUACUAAUGCACAUCAGGGUAGCCAUUGCUGGCAUUUUUCCAGCGAUAUUCUAGUGACCCAUGCCUUCAUAAAGAUUUGCUCCCUAAAAGAAUCCUUUGACACACAAGUGCCCUUGCUCUUUUCUCAUCGCAAAUGUGAAGGCUCCAGGUCCUUCCAGAAGCAUGGGUGAGGACUGUUCUAGAUCCUUCCAGAAGCAUGGGUGAGAACUAUUCCAGGUCUUUCCAGAAGGAUGGGUGAGGACUGCUCCAGCGUCCUUCCAGAAGCAUGGGUGAGGACUGCUCCAGCGUCCUUCCAGAAGCAUGGGUGAGGACUGCUCCAGGUCCUUCCAGAAGCAUGGGUGAGGUCUGCUCCAGCGUCCUUCCAGAAGCAUGGGUGAGGACUGUUCCAAGUCCUUCCAGAAGCAUGGGUGAGGACUGUUUUACAAUGCAUGGAAAGUACAACUGCUGCUACCACCCAGCUAUGGCUCAGAAUUCCUGCCAGGUUCUCCACCAGCUGCCCUCCAGCCUGAACUCCUAUGUCCUCCCCAGCAAAAGCUGGGUUAAUCUCAACUACCUUAAAGUGGGAAACACGAAGUGCUAAAUGGACCAGCUGUUCCUCUUUUCCUUCAGUGAAAGUGUCAUCAAUGAACGUGCAGAUUUUUAAGUGUGACACCAUGACGCUUACUGUAUAUAUGGCUUCCUCCCUCCUUCUCAUUAACAAAAGAAUGGUCAGAAUCAAGGAAAUCUGUGGACCCAGACCAUGACAUUUUGCUUUAGGCAAAGCUUGAUUCUUGUCCUGACCUUCCUGCUGAAACAUAAUAUUGAAGGUCAUCGUGCUCAGAGCCCAUCACAGAAAUCACAUUCCUAACAUAUGACACUGGUUUUUGUUUUUUUAAGAUUAUCUUGCAGAUGAAUCUUGAAUCUUUUCACAGACUUUUUUUUUUUAAAUUGAGCCUCGUGGGGACGGAUUUCGACACUUCCUCUAUUCUACCGCUGCUCCUGAUGGCAUAUUAAGAGAAUGUGGGUCAGGCAGCUAGAUCGCCACGUGACAGACACAUCUCUUCACUUCCUGGUGACUCAGUUUCCCUGUCUGCACACUGGAGUCAUAAAAUGGGGUUAAGGGUAGACAGAGCCCCUCCAUCCUGCCUUGUGAUUCGUCAGCAUUGCCUUUGGUGACCACAGAGGGUGAUUCAGGCUUGUCCUGGGCCCCAUCCAAUUCUAUGACACUCAGUUCUUGGGGACUUAGUACCCAGAGAUGUUUCUUUGUUCUUCUUCUUGAUCAUAUAGAGUUGACAAGGGUGCUCUGUUGUGACUGUGGACUUUGUAACUGAUCCCUUGAGCAGGCUUCAGGGACACCCUGGUUAUGAUAUGCAUGGCAUUCACAAAGAUGAGACCAGUCCUGUGUUAUGAUGGAUCAUGGCAGGUGAGGUGCCAACAUGAUAGAAUAAUGAAGGUAGCAGCUGCUGGCACAGACCUGCUCCUUAUAGGGAGUUGAGACUUCGUCAAUUUUGCACAGACCAAGAUUAGGGAUUGUCAAGAAACAGCCCCCCGGUCCUUUUUACAAUUUCCUGCUCACUGUUGCCUAGUAGAGAAUACCAGAUUUUUAAAUAGAUAUAUCAUGUUCAUCAAAAACAUCAAGGUGUCCCCCAGAUUACCAAGAUCAAAUCCACUUGCGUUCACUUUAAAAAAACAAACAAACAACAACAACAAAAAAAAAACAAACAGUACCUUAGUGACAUGUUACAGACGGCCAUGUUAUUCACAGAUCUCACAUCCACAGAAUCAACCAAUCAAAAAUCAAAAUGUUUUUUAAAACAUGUCUGUAUUGAACAUAUACUAAACUAGAUGUGUGUCAUUAGUCCUAAAUAAUGUUGAAUAGCAUUUGUAUCAUAUUAGGGAAUAUAAGAAAAUCCACAGGUAGUGAUGAUUCUAGGCUCUGAGAGGUUUUGCCUAGGUUACGUAUGAAUACUAUGCUGCUUUCUGUAAGAGACUUGAAAACAAAACAAAAAGGAAAGUACAGAAGAGUAGAAGAAAGAGAACGGAGUGACCUAGAAUCUAGCUGACCCUUGACCUUUGUGUAUGUUGGAGAAAGAGCCAAGGGAAAAAAAAAUCCUAUAAAAAGGCCAUUUGGGCGGCAUUUUGCAUUCCAGGUUAUUAUCAACCUCUUGUAAAGCUCCACACUUGGCCGUAGCUCUAGCCAGCCCCACCUGAGAUGCCCAUCAAGCCUCAGCUUGUUGGUGGCAUUUACCUAGAGAAGCCUGCUUUCCAGACCCGAGGUCUAGCAGACUGCCGUCUGUAUUUAGGGGCACUGAAGCAUGCCUUCAUGCCCCUGAACAGAGCUUUGGUGUCUCACAGGGUGUCUGUCCUCCUUUCAGAGUACCAUUUGCCUUUCUUACGUUAUACAGUUGGGGGUGUUGUUUUGGCUUGUCUGUUUUUAGUUGUUAGGAAAGGGUGCAAAACAUAAUCUCUUUUCCCCAAGACUAACUUCUUAACAAAAAUUCACCCCCGUAGCAUUUUUAGCUUUUGUUGUUAUUGUUUUGUUUAUUUGCUUGCUUGCUUGUUGCAACAGAGUCUCUCUAUGUAGUCGUGACUAUCUGGGAGCUCCCCAUAUACAGCAGGGUGGCCUCGAACUCACAGAGAUCCACUCGCCUCUGCCACCAGCGUGCUGAGAUUAGAGGUGUAUAUGUCACCGUAUCUAGUAGCAUUUUUUUAAGUGAUCCAUUGGUGAGCUACCCCUAUCCCACAGGACCGGUUUGGGCAUGAAUCAGGCCCAUUCUCUGGGAUCUUCUCCUUCCCGCCCUUCUCUGUGUCAGACAAUGCCAGGCUAGAUGCUGUAAAUACAUGCCACCAUUUAAUCACCAAAAGGCUUGGAAUCGAUACGAUUUCUCCCAUUUUACAGAUGAGGACUCACCCCACAGGCCUAGAACUGGGAGCCUUUUGUUCAUGACCGGUGUUGUCUGUUGAGUUGACUGUUUCAGUGUUGAAUCUGCUGCCUUUUCUAUUUCGAUAACGAAUGUCUGAGUUUGUAAAAGAUAAGUGAUUCCUACCUCUGUUGAUGGUCACAUGGCCUAUGUGUUCUGUCUUGGGAGACAGAGCUGGAAGCAGACGAGACACAGGAGGUUGUGAAAACCUUGGAGGGAUCGUCCUGGAGAUCAAGAUAGCCUCCUGAGGUGAACCUGAGACCUCUCCAGACUGUUAGUUUGGUCACUACUACUGAGAAGCUUCUUUGUAGAUUUUUUUUUUUUACUGCUAGGGCACUGGGCUUUUUAUGCCUGUAGGUCAGUGUCUCCACCCUAGUUUGUUUUGUUUCUGGGGAAGCUGAGCCCUUCCUUGCCUGCCUUCCACUGUACCUUGCUCAGUCAUGACACAGACACUACUCUGCCUUUGAGCUGAGGGCUUCAUUACUUCUCAGCUCAGAGAGGGCAAUGUCACCUGUAGGCACAGAUUUUUUUAUUUUUUAUUUUUAUUUAUUUAUUUAUUUUUUAGUGUUGUUCCAUUCUUAAAGCUAAAACAAGUCAGAAGGGUGUAUGAGUACCUGUUAAAAUAACUGGAGUAAAAUGGGGUAGGUUGCAAUGGGAUAUCGCAGUAAGGUAAACAAAAACCACCCAGCCCUCUCUAUCUGGCUCACCUUAUUUAUCUGACUUGUUUUAGUUCAUCCCACAGUGCAUGGCCUCUGAAUUAAUCACUGAAGCCUGGUGUUAAAGUUGGGUUCCUUGGGAAGUCCUUGUUGUAGAGGAAGCAGAGGAGUAAAUAAAGACUUAUUUUACUUCAGUGAGACAGCAAGCAGAGUAAAUACUUUAAGUCAGCGAGACGGUGAGCAAGUUGUUGAUCCGAGUGCUGGUGGAAGCUAAUUGGGUUAAAAUGACUCUCCAAAAAGUUUUUCCUUGCAGCUGGAGAGAUGGCUCAGCGGUUAAGAGCACUGGCUGCUCUUUCCAGAGGUCCCGAGUCCAAUUCCCAAUAACCACAUGGUGGCUCACAAGCCAUCUGUAAUGGGAUUUGAUGCCCUCUUCUGUCCGAUCCCCCCCCUCUUCUUUCAUGCAAAUGGGGCACUCAUACACAUACAAUACACAAAUAAAUCUUUUUUUAAAAAAAAGUUUUUCCUGAUAAGAGAUUCAGCCAGGAUUUCAAACCAAAAUAAACUAUCUACCAACAAAAUUAAACCAACAUAAUGAGCUCGCUGAUGUCUGAAAACAUUGUGGGAGGAGGGGCCAGGUUGCAUAGGACAAUGGUAUUUUAACCCUUAAGAGGUGUGUAUGAUUUGGACAGCAAAGAAGGAAUCGGAGUCGAAUUCUAGGCUCACAGAAGCCUAUGAAGGCUUGGAAAGAUGUGACUCCUUGGCUGUGGUCCCGUGUGUUGGAAGCAGGGUUUUUAUGAGGACAAGUAGAGAGGGCAAGAUGGGGUGGGAUCAGCCCUGGAAGCUCUGCUCCACGGAAGAAUGUGGGUUUUUCUCCUGGUCUGCAGGAAGAGCAUGUUUUAGACGGGAGAAUGAAUGGAUGCUCCCACCGUCUUAGGUGGAGACAGAACUGUUUGCAAUGUCAAGGUAAACGUAUUAAAAGUAGGGAGUUGAGAGUGGCUCACCUGCUCAAAAUGGCAGCCAUUUUCCAGAGCAAAGGUCCAUGGGUCAUUUCAGAGACGACCUCUGGAUAACAGAGGGCAUGAUGCUCCCUUGGGUGGGUCAGAAAGACCGGCAGUGCAGGAAGCAGAGAGGGGAAGGAACAGUGUCGGGGAAAGCAAAGUAAGAAAGGAUUAGAGGAGACAGAUGUGGGAAACACGAGCCUUUGAGCAACUCUUGGGGAAAACAAAACAACAACAACAAUAACAAAAAAAAAAACCAAAAAAAAAAAAAAAAAAAAAAAAAAAAACCCUGUGGCCUUCCAAGUAUACUGUGGUUUCUGAAAGUCAACUGGUCAGUAACUGGGCUGAAAGUGUAACAGUGAAGGGAGGGAAUGUGGUCAGCAACCAGCCAUGUGGUGAGGAGACGGAAAACCUUGUGUUUCUGACUUAGCGUUUGGAAGAGCUACAGCAAACACACUGCAUACCUGUGUACAGUUACGGGAGUUACGGGAGUUUAGACCCGGCACCUUAGGUCAGAGUAGGGCUCUCAAAGGUAGGAGGGAAUACAGGCUGCAGUGGGAACACACUGGCUUUGGGUUUCUGUUGCUUGAAGAACAUUCACACUGCUGAUGUCUUACUGCAGACCCCUGUCCCAAAUGCCUCAAGCCGUGCAUGUUAUAAAUGAGAGCAGUCUAUUUUUCAUAGCUCUGGAGGCUAAAAGAAUCCUCUUAAGGUCCCAGCAGACACUACUGGGUGGUUCUGCCUCCUGUUCACAGGCGGCUCCUUGUGGUGGUCUCUUGUGGUGCACAGGACCAGGGAGCACAGUAGAGCCUGUUUGUAAGGACACCAGUCUAGCCAGAGUCUCUGCCUUCAUGAACUAUCAGGCCCCCAGUUGUCACACCUUAUAUAUUGGCGUGGGGUUGGGGGGUAGGGUUCCAGCUUAUGACUUCUGAGAUUGGGUAAGCUCAAGGCUCUGGGUUGGAGGCACAUGGGCUCGAGCUGGAUAAGCUAACCAGAGGAGAGGACCAGAAGCAGGACAGAAGAAGAGGGUGAAAAAGACCGAGGGCCCAUCAAAUAGAAUGUGCCCCAUACCUGUUUAGAGGGGACAAGACAGAGUGGGAUAUCGCUCAGUGGUAGCCACUUAGUGUGUAUUAAGCCCUAAAUUUAACCCUUAGCCUUGGGGGUCGGUGCUGUAGCAUCUGGGUAUUACGUCUUUUACAGUAACAUAUUUAAAAAGGAAAAGGAACUAAACAGCAACAAGAGCAGGCAGGGUAAGGUGACCCCUUGUUCUCAAAAGCACAAAGGCAUCUCAUAGCUGUUCAGCAAGAACCAGUGUACACUGGCCGGAGCAAGCCACUAGGGAGGUGAGAAGAGAGACAAGUGAGGCCCCACAGGACAUCACAGACCGACUGAUGUGGUAAAGGCUUUGGCGGGGGACUCAGGUGCAUCCAGUUGCCAUGUUCUGACGGAGGUUGCGGUCCCACUCCGGUCCCCUGACCAGCACACUCUGCAGUCUUCCCUGUAGAAGUAACAGCCACUGUGUGUUACUUAGGAUUCCCGGCUUGGGUGUUCUCAAAGCAAGUGAGAAACUGACCGUACAACAGCAUACUGGGAGGCUGGAGAGAUGGCUCAGCGGUUAAGAGUGCUGACUGUUCCUCUAGAGGUCCUAAGUUCAAAUCCCAACAACCACAUGGUGGCUCACAACCAUCUGUAAUGGGAUCUGAUGCCUUCUUCUGGUGUGUCUGAAGACAGCUGCAGUGGACUUAUAUAUAAAUAAGUCUUUUUUUUUAAAAAAAGCAUGCUGAGUACAGACUCCUCUCAAAUUCAAGCAGCCACACCUCUCCCGAUCCAGUGGCGGUAUUGUUUUGAAAGAGAUAUACCUCUUUUGGAAUCUUUGAUGUUCACCUGUUUAGAAGUAAGAAUCUUUUUACUCGUUAGCGUUACAUGUUUUAUGAUAUAUGGGGAAGGGUGCCUGUGUGCCCUGGUAUGUGUGCAGGGGGCUGGAGAACAACUUUGUGGAGUCGGCUCUCUCCUCCUGCCUUCAUGUGGGAUCCCGAGUAGAACGUAGGUCACCAGACCUGGAGGCAAACAGUUUUACCUGCCUAGCUCUCUUGCCAGCCACGCUCCAAACCUUAUUUCCUUCCUCAGUCAUAUUUCAUUAAUUUAUAUAACACCCAAAAGAAUCCCGCUGUUUUGUGCCAGCGCUUUUGGGAGCACAGAAAGUGUCUGUGAACCAAGUCAGAGAGACUCUGGCAGGAAGACUCUGCUGGGACAGCAUCCUCAGAGUCAGUGCUAAGGCUCUUGAUGUCAGAAUCACUGAAGCUCAGAGACGAGGCAACUGUUCUAUACAUGUGUCCCUGCCAAGCCUGUCCCCAGGUUUGUCUGUCUUCUGUGACGUAGUUGACUUUGUCCUUGAGUGUCUGGUACCUCCUUCUUCCCACCUUGACUUCAGGUACAGAUUCCUAGCAAACCUGCCCGGCAGCCCUGCCCAGGGUUAGAGUACCAGCAGGCUCCUUCGGGGUCAUGGGGUUCUUUGCAAGACCUAGCCAUAUUUAACGCUGCCUCUUAUUUCUUUGUGCUUCAGAAUUACACACUGACUUGAAAGUUUACUAGGGAGCAGGUAUUGUCUGCAAUGUAUGUACGGCUCUCAGUUCACCAAGACCCAAAAUGUAUUGCUUUAUUAAGGCAAUAUUACUCCAUAUCCUGAGUAAAAAGUGUGUGAUCUCAUAGUCUUUCUUGCCCUGUUCCUCCAGUAAUAUAUAAAUAGGUAUGUAUGUAUGUAUGUAUGUAUGUAUGUAUGUAUAUAUACACACAUUUGCAUGUAUAUGAACAUAUAGUAACAUAGUUAACUAUAAUGCAUGUCUUUUAUGUGAGGAAUUCAGUCUCCCUGGGACCAGCUCCUCCCCCUAAUUCUCUAUGUACUUUGAACCCUGUUUUUCUCUACUUAUUUAUGUUUUCUAUGUGUCCAUUUCUCUGGCCUAGGUGUAAUCCCAUUCAGCUUCUCCUCCCAUGGCAGCUGAAUAUCCAGUCUCUCUUACUUAUGUUCUUUAGAAACUCUUAGGACACCUUGAAAACCAGAGAUCUUUAGGUGAGACCAGGACAAGGAGAAGUUGCCUGACUUAGGACAUGGCUGCCCAGGCAACUGGUGUAGAGUAUGGACCAGUUUCCCUUCCAUUAAAGGAUAGCCUGAAGGACAAAGCUUUCAUCGGGUAUUCAAAAGGAUGCGCACACACAUAAGGUGCCCCGUAGGUAUAUUUCCAUCACUAGGGUACCAUUGAGCACUACUUCCCAGCCACACAUUUCAGAUGCCACACUGCAUUAGUUAUUAAUGACAACAUACCAUACACUAUAGUUGAAGCCACCACAGGGAGUUUUCACAGCUCUGGGGACUGACCAGGUCAUACUAAGGUACAGCAUCUUUGGCUUCUCCUGAGCCCCUCUCUGUCUUAGAGAUGCUUAUCUGCUUUCCCAGGGCUGUCCUUGUGUGUGCUUGGGUACAACAGUCUUAUUAAAUCAGAGCCCAUUUACAUGACUUCAUUUUCUGAUUUUUGACUUUAUUACCCCUCUAAAGGUGCCAUCUCCUAGUGCAGCCCCAGUCUGAGGUGUUGGGGAUUAGGACCCCAGUGGGUGACUUUUAGACCAUACACCAUGGUUGUAGCACAUAUGAAUUAUUGUGCAUAAAGCUCAGGUGGUGGUGUUAGCCUUUCAGCUGUGACUCUUUCCUUUCAAACACUGCUGCUGAUCUAUUUGUGAGUAUCUAGCUGUGUAUCAGCACAUGGCUAGGCAUGAAAUUAUUUUGCCUCCUCCUUGUCUCCCAGCCAUAAACCUGUGUGAUAUUUUACCAGUAUAGAUCAACAGAAGAGAGGGUUGGGCACGAAAGAUGAACAUACAGUAUAGAAACAAGAAGUUAUUCCAAAACUUAAAGUGGCUGUGUUAGGAGAUUUGAACUGGCAACUCUCCCUCCUCCCUCCCCGUGGCUACUCAUGGGCAUUGUUCACAUCCACUGCAAGUAGAGCAAGUGCUCCGUUCUUAGCACGGACUCCAUGUUUUAGUGCCUUCAUCCUCAGUGGGUGAAUACAUACACUAGAGAGUCAUGACAUGUGAGCCUGGAUCAGGGCUCCGUAACUCAUGGUCCAGCCCAACCCAGAGAAGCCUGGAAGAGAUGGUUUGGCUCAAGCCUUGCACUCAUGAAGGUGGCUUGGUGUACCUUUCUUGAGGUGAUCUCCACGUGUGCUCAGGGUCUUAAUCUUGUACUUUUCCUGACGGUGUUGACAAUGACUUUGUACCAAAAAAUAUAUUACUCCAUCUUGGUAUUUCCUCCAAGUACAGAUGUCCUAGGCCCUCCCACAGGGAUUUGCCCAAAGGAAAAAUAACUAGAGGUCUUGGCAAUGUCUGAGUUGAUAGUUGAAUUUUAUUUCUUAUUAUUGCCCACUGCUUCUCUAAGGCUCUCUCAGAGUAAUGGAUUCUCCCUUUAGUUGUGCACAUGUGAGCAUGUGAGCAGCUGUAAGUACAAAGGUUGUUGUUGGUGGUGGUGGUGGUAAUGGUGUGUGUGUGCGCUUGGUGGGGUCCUCUGGGCUAGAUGUUUGAAAGCUCCUAUCUACGAAAUGUUAUUCUCUAAGUAGAUUGUUGAACCUUGUACUGGCUGGUUUUGUGUGUCAACUUGACACAAACUGGAGUUAUCACAAAGGAGUCUCUUUGAGGAAAUGUCUCCAUGAGAUCCAGCUGUAAGGCAUUUUUCUCAACUAGUGAUCAAGGGCGGGAAAGGCCUAGCCCAUUGUGGGUGGUGCCAUCCCUGGACUGGUAGUCUUUGGGUUCUGUAUGUGAGAAAGCAAGCUGAGCAAGCCAGGGGGAAGCAAGGCAGUAAGUAACAUCCCUCCAUGGCCUCUGCAUCAGCUCCUGCUUCCCCACCUGCUUGAGUUCCAGUCCUGACUUCCUUUGGUGAUGAACAGCAAUGUAGAAGUGUAAGCUGAAUAAACCCUUUUCUCCCAACUUGCUUCUUGGUCGUGAUGUGUGCGCAGGAAACCCCAAGACAAGCUUCAAAGGUGGGGUGGAGGGUGGGAAUUUGAAGCAGGGUUUGGGGUGUGUAGCUCAGGGUGGCCUUGAAUUUGGGAUCAGCCUCCUAGAUUCUGAGAAUAGAAGUGUGUGCCACCAUACCUGGCCUGUGAAUAGUUCUUAGAGGCUUGAAAUAACUUUGCCUCUCCCUAUAUUAGUUUUCCUGUUUUAAAUUCCACAUUGAAACGAUGUACUUAAUAUACUUCAGUUCUGUUUGUCCCCUGCCCUCUGCCCCUCAACUCCCACCCAGGCUCUUUUUUUUUUCCCGGAGCUGGGGACCGAACCCAGGGCCUUGCGCUUGCUAGGCAAACACUCUACCACUGAGCUAAAUCCCCAACCCCCCACCCAGGCUCUUUAAAUGUCUCCCAAGGCCACCAGAGCCUAGGAAGCGCCUUGAUUCAUUUUGCUUUAAUAGUGACCCCAGGCUAUUGAACAAAAACUGAAAAACUUACUUUGCCAGUCAUGCAUUAAGCCAAGGUUGCUCCCUUCCCAUCUAGGUCUAGACCAGCACUGUAUGCUUAGUUCAGGGAGAACUGCACAUGCACUUGACUUUCAAGUUUCCUGACAGCAAAUACUUGAAAUAAGUGAAUGAAGCUGGGCGUGGUGGCACACACGCCUUUAAUCCCAGUGCUUGGGAGGCAGAGGAAGGCAGAUCUCUGUGAGUUUGAGGCCAGAUCCCGAACAAAUUCAGAACAGCCAGGGCUGGUUAUACUGAGAAACCCUGUCUCAAAAAAACAAAGACAAAAUAACAAAACAAAAUGAAGAGAAAUAAUGGAUGGUUUUAUGCCUGCAAUCACAGCACUCUGGAGCCUGAGGCAGGAGGAUUGCUAGUUCAAGGCCAGCUCGGGCUACAUGUUCCAGACCCCAUCUCCAACUGAUGUAAAUGGGGAUCUGUCUAUUGAGUGAACGUAUCAUUAUUCUGCUGUUCCAUUAAGUAUGUGAGGCAUUUGUUAGCAAAUAGACCAUUUGAGAACAGGUAUGCUCUCUAUGUGGGUAAUUUCUUACACUAUGGGCAUUUCCUUAAUAGCUGUGGAUUGUGGGGGAGGGUUUGCAGGAUUCUUGAGCGAGCUUAUAGUCAUUGGGAAAGGACAAGACUGAACAUGCCACCUGUUGGCAUACUGAAAGGCAAGUUGCCAAAAAUGUCCUGGUGCUGGAGCUGUGGCAACAUGCAUGGACCUGAAGGUGUUGGGAUUCUUCUCCUCGGUAUGUAGAGGAUUCGGGAUCUGGCUUUUUAAAGACACUUCUUUUAGUAAGGAUAGAUACAGAAUGUCUGGUUCUCAUCAUUUAAGGUGCACAUAUCAGUAAACUGAAGUGCAGCUGUCACACCAGAGCGCCUUGAUCUGCAACCUAUUUGACUACUGAGCUCCUGUCCAGUGAACAGCAGCUUGUAGUGUUUUGGUACCCCUGUGCCUGGAGGAUUUCCCUGGAGGGUACUGCGUUUAUGUACACCUUUCUUAACACUUUGCUUUUAGAGACUGUAAUAAUUGGUACCAUAGCCAUUGCCCCAAGCCCUGGUCUGGAGUUCUGUCACCUGCCCUUUCCACUCUGGGACUGAAGGGUCCAGCGAAAGUUUUAUUGUUGUUUUGUUGUUGCUCUUUGAGACUGCUGUUAUAAGAACACACCUCACAGUGGAACCACAAACUGCUGUGAUUUGAUUGUUAGUGUUACCCUUCAGGUUUGGGGAUCAUGUCUGUGUUCUUAGUGUUUAGGGUCUCAGCAGGAGACCUAGGCUUUUAUGACUUUACCCUUUGGAGAUUUGAGUGUCCCCAGAAAGCACCAGGUGUUUUUGUAGGCUUUUUUUAUUUUUUAUUUUUACAUUCUUUAACUUAAUCCUUGUUUACACGAACACACUACACACACACACACACACACACACACAGUAUGUAUGUGUCUGUGUCUGUGUCUGUGUGUCUCUCUCUCUCUCUCUCUCUCUCUCUCUCUCUCUCUCUCUCUCUCUCUCUCUCUCUCUCUCUCUCUCCUAAUUAGAGUUCCUAAGGGAGGAGCCUUCCCCAUCACCACCCAGAGGGAAAAAAGAAAUGUCAGGGAAGACAUACAACAAAUACCAGAUGUACUAUCAGAAUAAGCUUUAUUUGUUUGUUUCCAUUUACCAUCUAUAUAGUCUAGUGACCUCCAGAACCCCCUGCUUUACAUGUUUCUAGAAAUGGUUCAGGCCACGGCCAGAAGGCCCUACCACACUGCCUGGCGCAUUCAGAGAAGCAAGGGUGGGAACAAUGGGCAGAGUGGCUUUUUGUUCUCCCGCCCCUGUUUACCUAUUCACAAUCCUGAAGCGGCUCGGCUGUGAUGGGGGAUGUCACGUGUAACUCCACCCCCCCCCGCCCCCGUCCCCCCCCCCCCCCCCGGCUGAGAAGGAGCAUAAUGCCUGCUUUCCAGACCUUCCCUCAUUCAGUGAAAGAUGUAGUUGUCGUGUGUCGGGACGACAGAGGGGCACGGUGGAAGCCAGCACGUGUGGCUGAUUACCGGGGCUGCCAUGUGCUUUGCAAGCCUCCGGUGUCUGCUCGGGAGCUGCUCCCUGCAUGGCCGCCUCCUGUCCAUCCUUGUCAGCGCCGCUGCUUUCUUAAGAAUCAUUGGAGAGCAAGCCUGUCCCUCCCUCCCUUGUGCGUGCACAUCCUGUUUCGUGAAAACGUAUUUUUCUUUUAAGCAAAAUUGAAAGAAAGGAGAGCGAGAAAGGAAGAGGGUGGGGGGAAGAAGGUUGCCAUCCAGUGGAGGAAGGAGUAAUUUCUAGCUUCAUUCAAGAAAGAAAAAAAAAAUGCACACACACACACACACACACACACACACACACACACACACACACACACACGCAGGCUGAAGUAUGCUUAACUCUUUUAACUUGGCUGGGGCGUUUUAGCACCAUAUGGGUUCUUUCGUGACGUCCGGAGCCAAAAGAGUGCAGUGUGCCUUUAAGGAAAGAGGUACCUCACCAAACUUCCCUGUAGUUGUGCUUCACCAUUUAGGUAGGGAAGGAAAGUGUUAAUUUCUUAUUUGUACACUUUUUUUCCCCCGACUUCCUUCCUAUUCACUUCAUUAAAUCUAGAGGCAGUUCAGCAUGGGAGCCGUCUGUAUGUUGAAUUAGGGCUCGUUCUCUUGCGCAACACGUCACCAGUCGGAAACUGGGGGUUUGCUUCUGUGAUUUAUUUCAUUAUUGUGCUGGUAAAAGGUUUGGAAGGGAAUUCUUUCUGGGGGUAGUACUUUUAGCAUUGUGUAGCAAGUUUUUUUUGUUUUUGUUUUUGUUUUUGUUUGGUUUCUUUUCUUCUUCUUUUUGUACCGCCCCCCCCCACCCCAGCUAAGUUAUCCGCUGAGCUAUCUUAACAAAUAAUAUUUUAAAUCAGAGAAGUCCCCAUAAUUUCCCUUACAAGCAAGAGAAAUCUUAAGUCUAACUCUUGAAGUGCGAAAAGCAUUGGGAAAUAUGGAGGGAAUUGAUUUCCAUUAGAAAAAGCCCCUUAGAAACCACAGGACAUGAAUCCCUGCAUAUAGAUGUGUUUCGGGUCUUUGGGGAGGAGGGAAGAUUUUUGUAGCUCUCUGCAUUCCUGCAUAAAAACCUUAACUUAAGGGGGGGGAUAACGGUCAGUACUCUGUGUGUUUUCCUGUAACUCCAGGACCUAGAUUUAAUAGGAAUCUGCAGUAUUAACAGUUGUAAUAAAAAUCGGUUUGACUAGUUCCGUUUGCAAUUUAAUUUGUUUUUCCUUCUUAGGUACUCCCAGGCGUAGAGAUUUAAAAGUCCCAAUAUCACAGGCUUAUGUUUGUUUCCCGCCCCCCUUUUCCAGAAUUAAGGGGGUGGGGGUCAGAGCAGAAAUACUCUUUUCACAACUUCCCCCUCCUCACGGAUCCCACUGAAAAGGAAAAAAAAAAAAAAAAAAAACAAUGAAAAAGAUUUUGCAGUAUGAAAACCGAAAGUGAAGUGUCACAGUUAUUCGGGGUUUUCUUUACAGAGAAAAAUAACACUGUAUUAAAAUACAGGAACCUGAGAACAUGCACGUUGCUUUUACUUACAUGCCUCUAGUGUGUGUGUGUGCUGGGGGCGGGACGGGGGCUGUUUUUCUUCUGUGUUAAAAAUCGUUUUAGACUGCUCCAAACCCAUGCAGUAUAUCUUUUCAGAGAAAAAAAAAAACCGACUAAGAUGAAGCAUAAAAUACAAUCAAAAGCAUGUCUUGCUUUAAUCUUUUAAAAUACAUUUGAAUAUUCAUGUGUUUUCCUUAUUGGCUUAAUUGUUAAAAUGCAAGCAAGAAUGAGAAACCACCUGAGCUAAAAUCUCUAAUUCUGCUGCCUGGAAUAAUAAGGGGGGUUGGGGGGGGGGGAGAGAAACAAUAUGAUAAGUAGUUGUCAAUAUUAAAACAGGCUGGAGGAGGAAGGCUUGGGGCCUGGUCGUAGGUAGAAUGAAACAGCAGAUUUGAGUAUCCACAAUCCUUCCAGUAUUAAAUUUUCAGUAAAAUAAAAUUACUUGUAUAUGAAAACAUAGCCUUUCCCAGCUCUCUUUUUUUUCCUGAUCAGCUGAUGAAGAGACUAGCAGCUCGCUGCUUUGCCGGCUUGUUAAUUUUAUCCCCACUAACUGUGAUUUCCGAUAGCCGGUCUGCUGAUAGUGGUAAGUGCGGCUGGCUCUGGUUUAAAGCAAGCGUUCGCAGGCCAUCGAAGACGGAAAUUUGGAAGAAAUGGAAGAGGAGGUACGGCUGAAGAAGAGGAAAAGACGAAGAAACGUGGAUAAAGAUCCCGUGAAGGAAGAUGUGGAAAAAGCAAAGAAAA